RNAcentral lists this ribosomal RNA (326 nucleotides) under uncultured Bacillota bacterium. Its description in RNAcentral is "bacterial SSU rRNA". It matches the Rfam family "Bacterial small subunit ribosomal RNA", at positions 28 to 351 of the family's 1533-position model. The record is from RNAcentral. Lineage: Bacteria; Bacillati; Bacillota.
GACGAACGCUGGCGGCGUGCCUAAUACAUGCAAGUCGAGCGGAUUUAUCCUUCGGGAUAAGUUAGCGGCGGACGGGUGAGUAACACGUAGGUAACCUGCCUAUAAGAUCGGGAUAACUAUCGGAAACGAUAGCUAACACCGGAUAAUUGGUUUCUCCGCAUGGAGAGACUAUGAAACACGGAGCAAUCUGUGGCUUGUAGAUGGGCCUGCGGCGCAUUAGCUAGUUGGUAGGGUAAUGGCCUACCAAGGCGACGAUGCGUAGCCGACCUGAGAGGGUGACCGGCCACACUGGGACUGAGACACGGCCCAGACUCCUACGGGUGCUG